Molecule: long non-coding RNA, 7634 nt
Filed under: Lactuca sativa (garden lettuce)
Lineage: Eukaryota; Viridiplantae; Streptophyta; Magnoliopsida; Asterales; Asteraceae
Description: long non-coding RNA (LSAT_LNC007862)
Source: RNAcentral
UUAAAGUCCUUAAUAUGACACCCAAUAUGAAAUAUUAAGGCUAGGACCCAACAAACUAUUUUAUAACUUAGAAGAGGUAUGCCGUAAUCCAAGCUAUAAAAUAUUUGAAGGUAGGUGAAUGACGAUUCACCAAUUUCCACCAAGAUAAACGAAAUGUAUUAUUAGGUUUUAAUUGGUUUUGAAACUCCUAGAUCUUUGAGAUUCAUUGAACUGUUCAAAGGCAUGUUUCAAUCUCGAGUGUGCCCUUCAGGUUUUGUGACUGGGAUGCCGAGGAUCACAAAACAAGGUGUGAAGUAACCAUGCAAAUCACUUGGUACCCUUAAUAAAUUACCCCUCAAUCGAUGUGCCGGUUAACCACACACGCUCCAUCGAUACUAUGAUAAAUAUUAAGUCACCCUUUACCUACCUUGUUAAGUCCAAGUUAGUGUGCCGGUUAACCACACACGCUCCACUAACGACUUAGACAAAGUGUAAAGUGUAAUUUCAUGGAUUAGCACCUUAUUCACAUUUUUCCUAAGUAACUAAGAUUGGGUAUUAUUAAGAGUUUAGUUACUUAGUAUUAUCAUUAAUACUUUUAAUGAAGGGAGAAUUCUAGUCCUGUCAAACCCGUUCGGCUAACGACCCUCCACCAGUCAAGCAAGCGGUGGGUGAGAGUGGACACCCAUUAAGUUGCCAUUUUAUAGGCAACAACCUUAUACCCACCUUAUAGACCGGCUUCGUGAAUGAGGCGUACUAGCGGUAAGACUGACUUUACUCUUAUACAUAUAUAUAUUAUUAACUUAUAAUAUUAUAAAGUAUAAGGGUUGAAUUUUAACUUUUAAAAUUCUAAGGGCUAACUUGGAAUUAAAGUAUUCAUAAGUGAAAACUUUACAAAUUCCAAAACUUGAGGGCAAGUUUUGAAACUAUUCAAAACUAAUUAAUUCCAUAACUUAUGUGUUUAAAGUAGUUUUAAUCCAAAAACUCUUCAAGUUCCAUAACUUGAGGACAAGUUAUGGAAGACUUUAAACUAAUAAAAGAAUUAACUUUUCUUUAUUUUAUAACUUAUGGAAUUAAUUAAGGUUACACUUUUUUUUUUUUUAUUUUAUUUUAUUAAAUGAAGAGACUCUUGGUCCUCCAUAACUUGAGGACAAGUUAUGGAGUCAUAAAACCAUUUAAUUAGAACUAGACUCUUCAUUUUUGUAACCUUUGCCAAUUUUUAUGAGUUUUAUGAUUCUUAAAUGUGACUUUUCAUAUAACUUGAGGACAAGUUACAAAAACACAUUUUAGAAUCAAUUCUUAGAUUAAUUUGGAUUAAAACCAACUAUCACAUAAUUUUAUUCAUUAAUCUAAAUUCACUCAUAAAACAAGGUAACACAAAAAACUUUUGGUGAUCCAUAACUUAUUCUUAAGUUAUGGAAUCCUUUAAAACAUUAACACCAAAUUUUGUAACUCCAAAAAAACUUUGAAUCAAUUUUUUUUUUAAAACCUUUUCAUAUCCAUAACUUAUGGAGGUUUCAAAAAAUAAAACUCUUUAGAUCAAACUUUUAAAACUAAUAAAAUAAUCAUAUUAUUUUAUCUUUUAUUAAAUUUGACCUAAUUCAACUCAUAAAGCAAAUUAUUCAAAUUUUACAAAUAAUUAGUUUUUCACAAGAACAAGUAAUUAUCUUAAAAUUUGACAAACUUCAUGUUUUUUUUUUUUUUUUUUUUCAACUUUGAAAAUAAAAUAUUUGCAUCAAUAUAACAGAAAACAACCCGUGGCUCUGAUACCACUGUUGGGUUUUGAGCAUUCUAACACUUCCUAAGUGUACAUGCAACCCUAAAUACCUUGGAUCUAUGUUUUCUCUAUUAUACAUGCAAAUAAGAACUUCCAAGGUAUUAUCCUAAUCUAGCAUACAAAACAAUAACUAUAGCAAGAUAGAAUACAUACCUCUUUGGUGUAGAAAGUCUUCAUGAAGCUUGAGUGCCUAGUGCCCCAAGUGUGACACCUCAAAUGGAAUCACAAUCAUCAAAACACUUAGAAUGACUUGAGAGAAUUCUACACUCAUCAAAAUCGGCUAGCCCUUUCUUCACUAUCUCUAGUGGCCGAUUUUUCCUCAAUAAUAAGAUGCUUAUAUAGUUACACAAUUAGGGUAAACUCUUAAUUGUCAUGGCUUUCCAUUUCCUUGGAUCCAUGGGUACAAAUACACCAUGGAGCAUCCAUGGACCAUCCUAUGGGUUUUAGCCCAACUUGAUUAUCCAUGGAGCAUUAGCCCACUAUACAAGUAUGGAUGAUUUACACAAUCAACCCAUAUAUUUAAUUAGUCUUCUUUUGAUCACUUAAUUAAUCCUAGAUUAAUUCUUGAUCAAUACUAAUUAAAUAAUCUUAUUAUUCUUAUUAUUAAUAUACUAGAACUUAUAAUAUAUUAAUAACCAUAAGUGUCUUAUUUCUCUCAUUCAAGUGCAUGAUGGUAUGCAACCCAAAUGGACCAUGCCGGGUCGGGUCAAGUCUUACCAAAUAUAGUUAUGGACUUAGACAUUAAUCCAACAAUAUAAUCCUUCGAGUAACAGACUCGUCCCUACAACGGUUAGACUCAAACGAGAGCUGCGGAAUAGGGCCAAAUCCAACACUCUAAGUUUAUCCACCUUGAUCACAUGUAGUGUGACGUAUUUACCUAAUGACUAACUCUCAUCACUCAGAGUCCCACAGAGCACAUAGCAAGCAGCAUUCGGACGCAGGAGAACUACUCAAGCAAGUCUGUCCUCAUAAUGAGAAGCUGAACUAGCAUACAAUGCUAAGCUCGUACCACCAGUCAUAACCUAAACAGGCUAUCCUACUACUGUCUACUCAAUAUUAGCAUGCAACUCUUAUAAGCUUAAGCACAUAAAGCAGGCACAUAAGGCAUCACUCCUAGAUCCUUAGUCCUAUUCUAGCAUGCUGUUAUACUGGAACUGAUAAACGAAACAUAAACUUGUAUGGGUACUUUGGGGAAUACUGACAUGAGCUCGGCCGGUCGCGCACAUCACACACUUCGUUCUUUUCUCAAAACUCUUUUCUUUAAAUUAAAAAAAACAUUUCUUUUUCCAAAAUCUUUUAAUCCCUCGAUUUGAGUUCAGACACCCCCUGAGGGUGUGUCCGAAUCCCUCAAACCAGGGCUCUGAUACCAACUUGUAACGACCCAAAUUUCACGUCCAAAAAUUUUCUUUUUAAAUUAAUACUUUAGAAAACGGUUGUAAUUAAAACAUUGUCUGGUCAAACCAUUUCAUAACAUACAUCGUGUCUGAAAACCGAAACAUGAAAAAAAACAAUCAACUAUGAGAGUACAAAAUCCCAGAAUGACUCAUGGUGCGGAAAACAAGGUGAGUGUAUGAUGUGCCGCUACCGCGCCAGCUCCUUCCCUCUUGAAGAAGAGGUACCUGAAAACAAAACUAUAAACCGUAAGCACGGAGCUUAGUGAGUUCCCCCAUAAUACCUCAUACCAUACAAACAUACAAUGAACAACUAGGAGAUACGGGCCUCGCCCACACUCAUGAAGAUACGGGCCUCGCCCACACUCCGCUAGCUGGGAGAUACGGGCCUCGCCCACACUCCGCUAUCUGGGAGAUACUGGCCUCGCCCACACUCCCCUAUCUGAGAGAUACAUGCCUCACCCACACUCCACUAUCAGAGAGAUACGGGCCUCGCCCACACUCAACUUCUACCAUAACAUACAAGUAUCACACAGACAACGAGUAUAAACAAUUCUAUCAUACUGGCAUAUAUCAUAAUCAACCUCAACUAUGAGAUACGGGCCCUACCCACACUCUGGCACUAACAUAUCAUCUAUAUGGUUCAGCCUUGGUGCCUUAGACCCGUUACUACUGGAAGGAAACUCACCUUGUAACGUAGUUACCGAAAGUCUGGUCGAGGUGUGAUAAUUGGAGAUGCAAGGAAGAGGCAAUACGGAAAUUCUAAGAAUACNCACUCAUAAAUACCCUUAGGUCAAUUGACCGACCCACCCCUGGUCCAAGGUCAACUCCUUGGUCAAAGUCAACCUCCAAUUGACUGGACUCGCCGAGUCGUCGCACAGACUCGCCGAGUCCUUCUCCUUCUAACCUGGUCCUACUCGCCAAGUCCCUCUUCCCACUUACUGAGUCACCCUUAACUCACUACUCGGAAAUAUAGAACUGACUCGUGAUCUGACUCGCCGAGUCCAAGAACGACUUUCCGAGUCCCCACGAGCAGAUCUCCUACUCACUUCCAAAUCCUCACCAGAGCAUCCCUUAAGAUGAUUUGGGGUUUUGGGACUAUUGCUACACAUUAAAUUGCUAAUUCCGCGUGCAGAUACGAAGGGUUGGACCUUCAACACUUAAACCCCUCUUACUCAGUGACAGUUCAUAUGACUCGCCGAGUUUGAAGAACAACUCGUCGAGUUCCAGGCAAUCUUCAAAGGAAUCGCCGAGUUGUUCAUCCAACUCGCCGAGUCUAAAGCCAUCUUCAUAGAACUCUCCAAGUUCCACUUUGGGACUCGCCGAGUCCCUUCGACCCACUUCCCAUACAGACCAAAUCUGAGACAUGCAAUGCUUCUAAACCAUAGAUCUAUGCUCCUAGGGCAUGCUUAUCACGUAAAGUUGCAAACUUUACGUGCAUGCAUAGCCUUACAAGCUCAAGAAGGCAAAUCCAAGCUCUUUAAGAGGUCAUACACUCAAUAGGGACCUCAAUAACUCCAACCACAGAGACUUUACACUUCUAAGAUGUCUAUAAGGUCCCAAUCGAAAGUCCUUUCAGAACAUAGAGCAUGAAUACGUGGAGUUUUAGGUUUUAGGGCUUGAAAACCACUAAUUUGGGACAAAAAGGGUAUCUAAUGAACUAGUGAUCAAGGUAAGAACUUUUCUACCUGAAUGGAAGCUUCUCACAGUAUAGAUUCCGGAUCUACCUCCCCUCCUUGCACACUUCAACCUCUUCCCUCUUCUUCUAAGCUCUCAAACCUUCCUCACAAGGCCAAAAUCAAUCUCAAGAACAAUAUGGGGGCUAGGGUUUCUUUCUACAGCUCUCUAGAAGUGUUAGGGACAAAGGAGGCCAAGUUAGAGCGUUUAAAUAGGGUGCAAACACCCGGAUUAGGGUUUUUUUCCCAAACAGGGUCUACUCGCCGAGUCUGGGGGCCAACUCGCUGAGUCCAAAGUUCGGACCUCGCGUCUUAUCCCGCUCCUACUCGGCGAGUUGGUCCUUCAACUCGCCGAGUCCAAGGCAAAAAUGCACUAAUUUAAAAUAUAAAUCACAAGGAGUACGUACCAGGAACUAGGUGCUACAGAGUUUCCUUACCAUCAUUUUCAUGAAUCGAAGAGAAACCUUAUGACACUUAGAUUUUAUGGUAUAUGUGUUCUUAUCCACGUGAAUUUGUCAAACCAUAAUCACAAGACUAGGUUAGUGACAAAUCCUAACUCAUAUGGAUUGAACUUGUGCAAUCUUUACUUCUUGCCACAUGGCAGCUCAAGGGCCUGCCAUUGCUUCCAAGUAGUUAUGCAAACAAUUGAGAACAUGAAGAACUCCAAUAUAUAGCCAACUUAACUUGAAUGGUCACAGAAAUGUCAACAUGAUAGAUUAUAAACCUCUAGUUGUGUGCUAGUGAUGAAAUACAAGUUUUAUGCUUGAUUACUUCUUGAGACCCUUUCAGGAUCUUUUAGACGCCCACUGUCUCCUUGACAUAUAAGACUAUCUUGCCAAAUAUUCAAGAGAUAGUGCGGAUUCUUUAUCAAGACAAACACUUCACACAAUUGGCCUAAGUUGGUCUUUGUUUUAUCCAAAACAUCACAACUUACCAAUUUCAAAUGUACAAGAGUAGGACACUUUUACUCUUACAUUUGAUAAGUGUGUUAAACCUCUCUUUAAGAUAUGUCACUCAACUUACAGUCUUGGAGUAUGACUCUAAGACUUGUUUUGUAACGAAGUAUGAAACAUCUUCUUGAUUUAACCAUUUCAACAAUUCAUGCACUUAGAGGAUGAAUUGUGAUAAGGUCUCAAAAUCAUUAAGAUGAUCUUAAAACAUGAUACUAAAGUACUCUUCCAUCUUUUCAGAUUUGAGAAACUUUUAUCCUUCUGCCUAAUUUGAUUCUUCUUAUUUGUUCUGUCAUACAUUGAAAAUCUUCCAAAGUUUCAGAAUUAUACUUAAGCUUGUAAGUAUAAUCAUAUUUACUAAACCUUAGCAAAUCAUGACGAAUAGUCUUAUUCACCUUUUGUGGUGGACUUUGACAAGUGCACAAGACAGUGUACUUGAUCCUUUAGUCCUUCUCUUGACUCACAUAUACAUGUGAACAAGGAACUAGUCUUAAUUUUCCAAAGUUGAUAGUUCUCAUACAUCACACUAAACCCCUUAUAUGAUUCCAAGUUUCAGUCCAAUCGAAACUUGGGUGAUGAGAAUCUUUCUUUACUUGGUAAAUUUAGACACUACCACAAAUGAAAGAAUCAAGUUCAUUUUUCCAAUGUUGCUAGAAACAUACAAACAUCAAGUUUUCAUAAAUGCCAUUGUAAGGAUAUAAAAAUAAAGUAAAACAAACAUUUAUUUAUUUUAAAAAUGUGGAAAAACUUUUUCCUUACAAUGUAACUUGAAAUGAAAACUAUGUUAUUACAUGUUUCCUAUUCAACACACUCUUUCUUUAAGUUUCCUUCAUUUUUACUUUGAUUCUUAAAACAUCAACAUGUGACCCAGUCACAUCAUGUAAUAAGAAUCUCAGAAUAGAAACUUAAUAGAGUUUGAUAGUGAACUUUACCUAAGUAGAGUCAAACUUAUUGACUUUACCAACCUUAUGAUAUUUCAGGUAAAUUUGGCAGCUUCGCAACCAAUGCCCUUUCCUUUUGGCAAUUGAAGCAUAUGGAUCCUUUGGGAAUGGUACAUGGGAUAAUCUUAGACUUAGCCUUUCUCUUUACCAUUUGGUCAACCGAGUUGACUAUGGCCGAUCCCUUUCCAUUGGGAAGAGAAUGCUUUUUCUAGAUUUCCAGUGUCAUGAUUUUCAAUGUCCAUAAAGUUUUGGGAAGUCAAUCUUCUAAUCAAAUUUGCUUUACUAGCCUUACAAAUCAUUUCUGAUUCAGCAGCACCAAGCAAAUAGAUAAGAUCAUUAAGGGUCUUGUCAUAGUCUGUUUCAUAGGAGUCCCAAAGGAACUCACUAUGUGACUUGGAAAGUGAUUGAACUGCAAACUUUGUCAAGACUUCGGCACCCAACUCUCCCGGCUUGUCAGUAUGUGACUUCAUCUCCAAGAAGUGAUCACACCUAGACCUUUCCUUGCCAAUAGGGCUUGAGUGACCAUGAACUUGUGGGUUAGGGAGAAUAAUUGGAGGAGGUGGAGGAAGUGAAGUUCCAAGAGAUUUGGGAAGAUCAUAGAUGUCUGAAGUAGACAUCUUUUGGGAGAUAUUCAAGAUAGUUGAUUAAAAGUCCUUAAUAUAACACUCAAUAUGAAAUAUUAAGGCUAGGACGCAACAAACUAUUUUAUAACUUGGAAGAGGGAUGCCGUAAUCCAAGCUAUAUAAUAUUUGAAGGUAGGUGAAUGACGAUUCACCAAUUUCCACCAUGAAAAACGAAAUAAUUUAUUAGGUUUUAAUUGGAUUUGAAACUCCUAGAUCUUUUGAGAUCCAUUGAACUUUUUCAAUGGCAUGUUUCAAUCUCGAGUGUGCCCUUCAGGUUUUGUGACUGGGAUGCCGAGGAUC